RNAcentral lists this ribosomal RNA (402 nucleotides) under uncultured bacterium. Its description in RNAcentral is "bacterial SSU rRNA". It matches the Rfam family "Bacterial small subunit ribosomal RNA", at positions 355 to 774 of the family's 1533-position model. The record is from RNAcentral.
UGGGGAAUAUUGGACAAUGGGCGCAAGCCUGAUCCAGCAAUGCCGCGUGGGUGAAGAAGGUCUUCGGAUUGUAAAGCCCUUUCGGCGGGGACGAUGAUGACGGUACCCGCAGAAGAAGCCCCGGCUAACUUCGUGCCAGCAGCCGCGGUAAUACGAAGGGGGCUAGCGUUGCUCGGAAUGACCGGGCGUAAAGGGCGCGUAGGCGGUUCACACAGUCAGGCGUGAAAUUCCUGGGCUCAACCUGGGGGCUGCGUUUGAUACGUGUGGACUAGAGUGGGGAAGAGGGUCGUGGAAUUCCCAGUGUAGAGGUGAAAUUCGUAGAUAUUGGGAAGAACACCGGUGGCGAAGGCGGCGACCUGGUCCUUGACUGACGCUGAGGCGCGAAAGCGUGGGGAGCAAACA